CUAAAUCACUUUCGAUGAUGGAUGGAUAAAAUAAAUAUUUUUUGGUAAUCGUAUUCGAAUACCUAAUUAAUUACUAAAUCAUGUAGGUCACGUCUGAAUCUCUUAAUGAAAUUGGUUCCAUUUAUGUAUUGUACUUUACAUCCAUCAAGAUAUGGAUCUUAAAUGAUUGGCUAGAACGUUAUAUGUCUAACUAAUUUGAUAAUUAAUGAUAUUGCAUUACAGCCUAUUCCACACUCAGCUAAUUGGUUGUGUUGAUCUAUAUCAGCCCUCUAGCUGUUACAUAUGUAUUGAGUUUACUAUAUACAUUACGUAAAUAUGCAAAUUCAUAAGAAAUGAAGUCUACGUCAAGACUAGGUUAUGGAUUACGGGCAGUUUAAAAAACGAAGUGCUUGGGCUCGGAUAGAAGCAGCGUCUUUUACAACUUCUUUCUUACGAACACAAUAGUCAUACUGUACCUUAGUUAUGACUAAAAAGAGGCGCUAAUAAGCCUUUCAAAUAUUGUAUACAAAGUGAUUAUAUUAUGUCUGACUAGUGCUUCAACUUAAAAUAUUAAGAAAAUAAAAAUUUGUUUCCUAGUUACAGUAUAAAUGAUUUUAUUAUAUUGCACAUGACGUUAUUUUGUAGACUACAGCCUCGGGCCGUAUGUAACCGCAUGUAAACCUUAAAUUGUUUUAUUUAUCUGUCAUUCAUGUCGGGAUCGGUGGUCAAGUUGGGUACCUCGACCGUGACUACGUAAUACGACCGGCUUCUCACACUUCACUUGUCUGAAAGGGGCGUUAGUUAUUGUAACAUAACAGUCAUCAUAUCGACACAAUCAUCUCGCAAUCACUAUUAUUCUAUUAUGCAAAAUUUAUGGAACACUCUCACACACAUCAAAGGCAUAUAGGCGUUAAUUAAAUUUGGCUAUGCACGUAGCAUCAUUUCGCUAAACAUUAAGUUUGGUAUAGCAAACUAGAACGCAACUAAAGGUGACAGUCCAUUUCCAACUGCAGCUGCACUACCGUUGCGACAUUACUGGUGCGACAUUACUGCAGCGGCCGACUGCUGCUGUUUGCGGCGUGCAGUCGCGGCAGCGUUCGUCAGUUGAUUGCCAAAGUCAAUGAAUAAUGUCACUGUCAGACGUAUAAAUAAAAUUACUAAUUUACUUAUUUGUAUUUUUUACGAGAAGAAGUAAGUGACGAUAAUGCUACAUGGUACACGAAAACGAAAAACAGUUUGCCUUUCUACAAAAGUCACAUUCAGUCGAAGGCAGCUACGCAAUAUUAUUAAAAAAACCAGAUAUUGUUGGUGAUCGUUUGUUUGCCGAUUAAAUGAAUAACAAUUUAACUUCAAAUUGAAGAAAUACAACCAAAUUACUCAAAUUAAAUGAAUGCAGAGGAGAAAUAUUUCUUCACUUAAGGUGUCCAUGGGUGACGGCACUCGUGGUCGUGGCAGAUACAGUGUAUGACUAGACCAUAUAAAACUUGAUGGGCGAGACAAGAAAUCUUUUAUGAAGAAAGCUAUUUACGUUAGCCAAGGGGCUGAUAGAAAGAAUAUUUAAUAAAUUAAUUGGAAUAAUAAAUAUUUUCCUCGUGAUGGUGUGAUAAAAUAAAUUCGUGUUGCGCUCUGUAGCAAAGUUUGUUUAACCCUCAUGCCUUGAAGUCCCCGCAACUGUCAAUACAAUUUUAUUUUAAAACCGCUGUCGCUUCUCUUGUGGUUCAAUUUUGUAAUUUUUCUUACGUUUGAGUAUCCAUAUGCUACCAUGAGGUGUUAAACAACAACUUUGCCUUUUGUAUUUCUAGGUAAUACAACUGAAUUAUUGCUUCUUUUAUCUCAAAAAUGGCUUUGAAAUGACAAAGUGAGAAAGUGUCACGAUAUUAUACACCGUGGGCUGGUAAAACCUGAUAGUUUUAAAGUUGUAUUCUUAAUCG
Long non-coding RNA from Cydia pomonella (codling moth), 1910 nucleotides. RefSeq lists it as uncharacterized. The record is from RefSeq and is a predicted model, not a curated record. Lineage: Eukaryota; Metazoa; Arthropoda; Insecta; Lepidoptera; Tortricidae. The transcript is spliced from 2 exons.